This 800-nucleotide ribosomal RNA is filed under the name Halomonas sp. K97. Its description in RNAcentral is "bacterial SSU rRNA". It matches the Rfam family "Bacterial small subunit ribosomal RNA", at positions 62 to 858 of the family's 1533-position model. The record is from RNAcentral. Lineage: Bacteria; Pseudomonadati; Pseudomonadota; Gammaproteobacteria; Oceanospirillales; Halomonadaceae.
UCGAGCGGUAACAGAGCUAAGCUUGCUACACGCUGACGAGCGGCGGACGGGUGAGUAAUGCAUAGGAAUCUGCCCGAUAGUGGGGGAUAACCUGGGGAAACCCAGGCUAAUACCGCAUACGUCCUACGGGAGAAAGGGGGCUUCGGCUCCCGCUAUUGGAUGAGCCUAUGUCGGAUUAGCUAGUUGGUAAGGUAAUGGCUUACCAAGGCAACGAUCCGUAGCUGGUCUGAGAGGAUGAUCAGCCACAUCGGGACUGAGACACGGCCCGAACUCCUACGGGAGGCAGCAGUGGGGAAUAUUGGACAAUGGGGGCAACCCUGAUCCAGCCAUGCCGCGUGUGUGAAGAAGGCCCUCGGGUUGUAAAGCACUUUCAGCGAGGAAGAACGCCUAUCGGUUAAUACCCGGUAGGAAAGACAUCACUCGCAGAAGAAGCACCGGCUAACUCCGUGCCAGCAGCCGCGGUAAUACGGAGGGUGCAAGCGUUAAUCGGAAUUACUGGGCGUAAAGCGCGCGUAGGUGGCUUGAUAAGCCGGUUGUGAAAGCCCCGGGCUCAACCUGGGAACGGCAUCCGGAACUGUCAGGCUAGAGUGCAGGAGAGGAAGGUAGAAUUCCCGGUGUAGCGGUGAAAUGCGUAGAGAUCGGGAGGAAUACCAGUGGCGAAGGCGGCCUUCUGGACUGACACUGACACUGAGGUGCGAAAGCGUGGGUAGCAAACAGGAUUAGAUACCCUGGUAGUCCACGCCGUAAACGAUGUCGACCAGCCGUUGGGUGCCUAGAGCACUUUGUGGCGAAGUUAACGC